CGUAGGCGGUUUUUAAGUGAGGCGUGAAAGCCCUGGGCUUAACCCAGGAGGUGCGUUUCAUACUGGAAGACUUGAGUACGAGAGAGGAAAGCGGAAUUCCUAGUGUAGAGGUGAAAUUCGUAGAUAUUAGGAAGAACACCAGUGGCGAAGGCGGCUUUCUGGCUCGUAACUGACGCUGAGGCGCGAAAGCGUGGGGAGCAAACAA
This 205-nucleotide ribosomal RNA is filed under the name uncultured bacterium. RNAcentral describes it as "partial 16S ribosomal RNA". It matches the Rfam family "Bacterial small subunit ribosomal RNA", at positions 570 to 775 of the family's 1533-position model. The record is from RNAcentral.